UGAUUAAUAAAAUACGACAAACUAUUAAUAAUUACGAUAUCAAUGACUAAAAACAAUAAUAACUGCUAUUACUCAAGUAUCGUGAUACGGUAAUUAAUAAUAUUCAGUAUCACUGUGCUUAAUAAAAUAAAUUCUGAAUGACAUAUUAUAUUAGACAAGUUUUAAUGACCUAAAUAUAUCUUUAUUAUUAUGUUACAAUUAAACAAAUCCGUCAUGAAAUAUUUAUGGUAAAUUACCAUUUUUUCUAAUAACAGAAAUUUUAUCAUAUAUUUUAACUGCAUAUUUUUAAUAUUAAGCUAUUUGGCAACGUCGCUAAAGCUUUACUCCCUCGCCCGGCAAUGUGACUUGGAACCUAGCAACCAGUGAGGUCAACAAACGAGGUCAAAUUGCAAUUUACCUGUGCAAGAAAAAUCAGUAAAUAACAUUAAUUGGAUGAAGUAUCAAAUUAGUUUUCAUUUCACUUAAAUCACGUUAAUUAAACGGAAUAAAAAUAUCCUAAUAACGAGUAGUACCACUUUUAAGAUUUAAUUUAGUUUAAAUAAUGUAAAUUUGGCAAAUAUUCCAGAUAAAAAGUAUAAUUUUGAAAGGAAUGAUAAAUUGCACUGCUUUAACAAUGAAUAUUGGAUCAGAUAUCAAUCAUAAUUAUCACAUUCUUUUAUUUUAUUAUAAUACAAUUGAUGAUGUAUUGUAUGUAGAUACAUACAGCAUGAAUUGCAUUAGUCAAAAAUAAAAGAAAAGAAUAGAAUUCUGUGAAACAUGGCAGAACUAAAGAAAUGAAUGGAGGCAUCCCCUGUGUUGCCAAGUAUACCAUUAUAUCCAUUUCUUUCUCUUGUAAAUAUUCUUGAUAGGGGUAAAGCUGACAUGUGUAGUCAGUAAUAACGGUAACAAAAAUGAAUAGCUAUUUCGUAGAAAGAUUCGAGUAAUAUUACAAAUUUCAUCCAACUUUAAAAAUACAAAUUAUCUUAUUGAUAACACAUAGAUCAGUUUUGUAUGAUGCUACAAGUUAACUGAAGCUUUUACCGAUGACUCUUUUUCUGCUCCUACUACACAUACAAUGAGUAUAACUUGAAUAAGCCUCGUUAAGGAUCGAGCUUAGAAAGUUGUGCGCAACUCGCAGUGAAACCAGAUUUGUGGGAGGUAGUAAUGGAGAGGGAGGAGUAGUCAGAGAUGUUGGGUCAACGAACGUAUCCAAGUAUCCCCUUUCUCCUUGCAUCAAGUUAAGCCACUACUAUAUCGUGGUGAACUCGUCUUCUCCAUAAAAGCGGUUACCUUUCUGCGCAUACUAGUACGACUACAGCGCAUACUAGUAGAAAUAUCUAACCAAAGGACAAAGACUUCAUGGUAGGGAUGAAAUCAAUAGUCACAAUACUCAACAUUGACGUUAACAAGCUGGAAAUGAUAAAAAAAAAGUAUUACUAUGUUAUUGAAUUUUGGGUUAACAUAGGCUAAUAAAACAAUAUGAAGUUUCGCAAGCUAAAUAUAGGAUUUCAAAGUUGAAUUGGUAUACCUACGUUUUGAUAUUUGAUUUUCAAUGGAAAAGCUAUACCCGGAAAACUUCUUAUCGACGCUUCUUCCCCUCAAUGAAGUAUGAGG
Osmia bicornis bicornis is the source of this 1593-nucleotide long non-coding RNA. RefSeq lists it as uncharacterized. The record is from RefSeq and is a predicted model, not a curated record. The transcript has 3 exons. Lineage: Eukaryota; Metazoa; Arthropoda; Insecta; Hymenoptera; Megachilidae.